AGCAGUUCACAGAAAAUGCCAAGUCUAUGCAGACCUUAGCAGAAGCCAUGGUUCAGGUUCCUCCUAAGACUUUCAUUUUGGGGUCAUCUCUUCCACACCAGAAUAAAGACGAGGGCUCAGGGAACAUCUUGGAGAAGGAAGUGAAAAGGACAUAAGAGCCAGAGACUGGGAAGGAGUGCUGAGAAAUGCUGUCUUCUGGACACGUCAUGCCAUUACAUCAGUGAACUCCCUGCAGCUGUGGUUACCUUGGUAAUGCCCACACCAAGGUCAAGCCAACAAGGCAGAAAUUGGAAACAACCUAGAUGUCCUUUGACCAAAGAAUGGAUAUAGAAAAUGUGGCCCAUUUACAAAAUGGAGUAUUACUCGGGUGCUAAAAACAAUGACAUCAUGAAAUCUGCAGGCAAAUGGAUGAAUCUAGAAAAAACUCACCCUGAGUGAAGAAACCAAACCCAGAAAGAUAAACAUGGCAAGGCUCCCAGCAGGGGGCUGGGAAGUCAAUCCGGCCUCAAAACCUUCAACCUACAGCCUGUCCUGCCUGCAAGACGUGCUGGGGGAAAGGUGGCCAAACCAAUGGCUGGUCCAACUUGAGACCCACACCACAAGAGGGAGCCCAUGCCAGUCACUGCCUGGAGGGCCAGGAACCAGAGGCAGGACGGCCCAGGACCUGAGAUAAUCGGUGCCUAGCCCAGUUAUCAUCAGAGAGGUGUCUUCCAGCGACUGAUGGGAGCAGAUGCAGAGACCCACAGCCAAACACUAGACAGAGCCAGAAGAACCCCCCAGAAGAGAUGGGGGGAAGGGUUGUAGGACCAGGGGUCAAGGAUGCCGCAAGAACAAGGCCCGAAGAAUCAACUAAGCAGGGCUCAUAGGGGCUCACAGAGACUGAAGUGACAAUCGUGGAGCCUGUAUGGGCCUGAGCUAGGUCCUCUGCAUGUAUGUUAUGGUUGUGUAGCUUGGUGUUCUUGUGGGACCCCUAACAGUGGGAGUGUGUGUGGGGGUGUCUCUAACUUUCUGACUCUUUGCCUAUGUUUGGGACCCUUUCCUCCUCCUGGGUUGCCUCAUCCAGACUUGAUAUGAAGGUUUGUGCUAAGUCUUAUUGUAACUUGUUAGGCCAUGUUCAGUUGAUAUCCAUGGGAGGCCUGCCCCUUUUUUCUUUUUUCUUUUUUUUCUUCUUCU
Molecule: long non-coding RNA, 1173 nt
Organism: Peromyscus californicus insignis
Lineage: Eukaryota; Metazoa; Chordata; Mammalia; Rodentia; Cricetidae
Exons: 5
Source: RefSeq, a predicted model, not a curated record